This 862-nucleotide ribosomal RNA is filed under the name Platypleura hilpa. RNAcentral's name for it is "SSU rRNA". It matches the Rfam family "Eukaryotic small subunit ribosomal RNA", at positions 45 to 807 of the family's 1831-position model. The record is from RNAcentral. Lineage: Eukaryota; Metazoa; Arthropoda; Insecta; Hemiptera; Cicadidae.
UAAGCCAUGCAAGUCUCAGUACAUGCCGCACUAAGGUGAAACCGCAAAAGGCUCAUUAAAUCAGUUAUGGUUCCUUGGAUCUUAAACAGUUACUUGGAUAACUGUGGUAAUUCUAGAGCUAAUACAUGCAAACAAGUCCCGACCAGAGAUGGGAGGGACGCUUUUAUUAGAUCAAAACCGAUCGGCGUCCGGCUCCGGCCGGCGCCGUCUCUUUUGGUGACUCUGGAUAACUUUUAGCCGAUCGCACGGUCACAGUACCGGCGACGCAUCUUUCAAAUGUCUGACUUAUCAACUGUCGAUGGUAGGCUCUGCGCCUACCAUGGUUGUAACGGGUAACGGGGAAUCAGGGUUCGAUUCCGGAGAGGGAGCCUGAGAAACGGCUACCACAUCCAAGGAAGGCAGCAGGCGCGCAAAUUACCCACUCCCGGCACGGGGAGGUAGUGACGAAAAAUAACGAUACGGGACUCAUCCGAGGCCCCGUAAUCGGAAUGAGUACACUUUAAAUACUUUAACGAGUACCAAUUGGAGGGCAAGUCUGGUGCCAGCAGCCGCGGUAAUUCCAGCUCCAAUAGCGUAUAUUAAAGUUGUUGCGGUUAAAAAGCUCGUAGUUGGAUCUGUGUGCCACGCUGUCGGUUCACCGCCCGUCGGUGUCAACUGGCAUGUCUGUGGGACGUCCUGCCGGUGGCGGUACGGGCUGCCGGCGCUGCGUAGGGGCACAACCCCGAAGCACGCCGGCGUGUCCCGGUCCGCCGAUCCAAUCCCGCCGCGGUGCUCUUCACUGAGUGUCGAGGUGGGCCGGCACGUUUACUUUGAACAAAAUAAAGUGCUCAAAAUAGGUCGUAUUUAGCCCUGAAUACUGUGU